RNAcentral lists this ribosomal RNA (468 nucleotides) under uncultured bacterium. RNAcentral describes it as "partial 16S ribosomal RNA". It matches the Rfam family "Bacterial small subunit ribosomal RNA", at positions 28 to 507 of the family's 1533-position model. The record is from RNAcentral.
GACGAACGCUGGCGGCGUGCUUAACACAUGCAAGUCGAACGGAAAGGCCCUGCUUUUGUGGGGUGCUCGAGUGGCGAACGGGUGAGUAACACGUGAGUAACCUGCCCUUGACUUUGGGAUAACUUCAGGAAACUGGGGUUAAUACCGGAUAGCAGCUCCUGCAGCAUGGUGGGGGUUGGAAAGUUUCGGCGGUAGCGGAUGGACUCGCGGCUUAUCAGCUUGUUGGUGGGGUAGUGGCUUACCCAGGCUUUGACGGGUAGCCGGCAUGAGAGGGUGACCGGCCACAAGAGGACUGAGAGACGGACCAGACGCCUACGGUAGGCAGCAGUGGGGAAUAUUGCACAAUGGGCGGAAGCCUGAGACAGCAACGUCGCGUGCGGGAUGACGGCUUUCUGGUUAUAAACCGCUUUCGCCUGUGACGAAGCGUGAGUGACGGUAAUGGGUAAAGAAGCACCGGCUAACUACGUG